Molecule: ribosomal RNA, 451 nt
Filed under: uncultured bacterium
Lineage: Bacteria
Description: partial 16S ribosomal RNA
Rfam family: Bacterial small subunit ribosomal RNA
Source: RNAcentral
GUGGGGAAUAUUGGACAAUGGGGGGAACCCUGAUCCAGCCAUGCCGCGUGUGUGAAGAAGGCCUUUUGGUUGUAAAGCACUUUAAGCGAGGAGGAGGCUACCGAGAUUAAUACUCUUGGAUAGUGGACGUUACUCGCAGAAUAAGCACCGGCUAACUCUGUGCCAGCAGCCGCGGUAAUACAGAGGGUGCAAGCGUUAAUCGGAUUUACUGGGCGUAAAGCGCGCGUAGGUGGCCAUUUAAGUCAAAUGUGGAAUCCCCGAGCUUAACUUGGGAAUUGCAUUCGAUACUGGUUGGCUAGAGUAUGGGAGAGGAUGGUAGAAUUCCAGGUGUAGCGGUGAAAUGCGUAGAGAUCUGGAGGAAUACCGAUGGCGAAGGCAGCCAUCUGGCCUAAUACUGACACUGAGGUGCGAAAGCAUGGGGAGCAAACAGGAUUAGAAACCCUAGUAGUCC